Molecule: long non-coding RNA, 932 nt
Filed under: Homo sapiens (human)
Lineage: Eukaryota; Metazoa; Chordata; Mammalia; Primates; Hominidae
Description: HSALNT0276416
Source: RNAcentral
UGGGGAGGCUGAAGAAUGAUUGCCACUUUAUUUAAGUCUCUGGGCCUAAUUUACAAAGACUAUUUGGGCCCAAGGAAUGGGGCCAAAGGGGCAGAGUACACCAUAACCAAGUCAGAGCAAGAAGUCAGCAUGAGGCGCUGAUCUGCUCAAAGAAACCAGUAUUGGAAACCAGGAGAAGAACCUAGACUGGUUCUGGUGUUGUCAAAUGCUGGUUGUAUUAGUUAAAGCAGGGGUCCAUAGAUGCUUUCUGCAAAGAGCCAGAUCAUAAAUAUUUUAGGCUUUGCACAUCAUACAGUCUCUGUUGCAACUACUCAACUCUGCUGUUACAACAUGAAAACAGUCAUAGGCUGUCCUAAUAAAACUUAAUUUGUAGACACAAGCAGCAAGAGACUUUGGGCCCAUGAGUUAAGGUUAUAUCAGCUGAUGUAACAAACAAACCUCAAAAUAUCAAUGACUCAACUAUGGUAGAUGUCUAUUUCUAGCUCAUGAAAAGUCCAAUGCAGACAUUUCUGGUCAGGCAACUCUCUAGGGUGACUGUCCUUCAAGAAGUAGUAGAGACCCAAGUUCCUACCAUAUUGCGGCUCCUCCAUUCUCAGCUUGGAGUGUCCGAGCUCACCUGGCUGAUUUGAACUAAAUUAGUGGAAGGGAAGGAACAUGGAGAUUCAUCUACAGAAGGGUUUGUGGGCCAGGAGUGGGAGUGAAGCAUAUCAAAUCCCCUCAUUUGACUAGAGUUUGCUCUCUUCACCACUCCAACUGCAGAUGAAUCUGAGCUUUCACCAUUGUGUUACAUCCAUGCUGACUUUUUGCUGAAGGCUACCAUCCUGACAGAUGACAUAUUAUUCUUUUGGAACUACUUUCCCCCAAGACACCUGGGAUUACCUGCCCAUCCUCUAUGCUCCAUAUAUUCUUCCUAUAUUUACCCAAAAGGGCCU